This 107-nucleotide small nuclear RNA is filed under the name Jaculus jaculus (lesser Egyptian jerboa). Lineage: Eukaryota; Metazoa; Chordata; Mammalia; Rodentia; Dipodidae. The record is from RNAcentral.
GUGCUCACUUCGGCAGCACAUAUACUAAAAUUGGAAUGAUGCAGAGAAGAUUAGCAUGGCCCCUGUGCAAGGAUGACAAACAAAUUCAUGAAGUGUUCCAUAUUUUU